UACGGGAGGCAGCAGUAGGGAAUAUUGGGCAAUGGAGGCAACUCUGACCCAGCCAUGCCGCGUGCAGGAUGAAGGCGUUAUGCGUUGUAAACUGCUUUUAUAUAGGAAGAAAUAGACCUUGCGAGGUAAGUUGACGGUACUAUAUGAAUAAGCACCGGCUAACUCCGUGCCAGCAGCCGCGGUAAUACGGAGGGUGCAAGCGUUGUCCGGAUUUAUUGGGUUUAAAGGGUGCGUAGGCGGUUUAUUAAGUCAGUGGUGAAAGACGGUCGCUCAACGAUUGCAGUGCCAUUGAUACUGGUAGACUUGAGUGAGAUUGAGGUAGCUGGAAUGGAUAGUGUAGCGGUGAAAUGCAUAGAUAUUAUCCAGAACACCAAUUGCGUAGGCAAGUUACUAAGUCUCAACUGACGCUGAGGCACGAAAGUGUGGGUAUCAAACCAGGAUUAGAUACCCUGGUAGUCCACACUGUAAACGAUGAUAACUAACUGUUGGCUUUCGGGUCAGUGGACAGAGAAAUCGUUAGUAU
Molecule: ribosomal RNA, 523 nt
Filed under: uncultured Flectobacillus sp.
Lineage: Bacteria; Pseudomonadati; Bacteroidota; Cytophagia; Cytophagales; Flectobacillaceae
Description: bacterial SSU rRNA
Rfam family: Bacterial small subunit ribosomal RNA
Source: RNAcentral